GAUGAACGCUGGCGGCGUGCCUAAUACAUGCAAGUCGAGCGAACGGACGAGAAGCUUGCUUCUCUGAUGUUAGCGGCGGACGGGUGAGUAACACGUGGAUAACCUACCUAUAAGACUGGAAAACCUCAGGAAACUGGGGCUAAUAACGGAUAGGAGUUCCUGAUGCCAGGUGGGGGAUGGAAAGUAUGGGCGGUCGGGGCUGGACGGGCGGCUUAUCAGCUUGUUGGUGGGGUAGUGGGUUACCAACGCUUCGACGGGUAGCCGGCCUGCGAGGGUGACCGGCCACAUUGGGACUGAGGUACGGACCAGACUCCUACGGGCGGCAGCAGGCGGGAGUAUUGCGCAAUGGGCGGGAGCGAGAUGCAGCAACGCCGGGUGCGGGAUGACGGCCUUCGGGUUGUGAACCUCUUUCUCCUGUGACGAAGCGAGAGUGACGGUAAUGGAUAAGAAAGCACCGGCUAACUACGUG
Molecule: ribosomal RNA, 469 nt
Filed under: uncultured bacterium
Lineage: Bacteria
Description: partial 16S ribosomal RNA
Rfam family: Bacterial small subunit ribosomal RNA
Source: RNAcentral